This 74-nucleotide transfer RNA is filed under the name bacterium. RNAcentral describes it as "tRNA-Arg". It matches the Rfam family "tRNA". From Rfam's summary of the family: Transfer RNA (tRNA) molecules are approximately 80 nucleotides in length. Their secondary structure includes four short double-helical elements and three loops (D, anti-codon, and T loops). The record is from RNAcentral.
GCCGGGUUAGCUCAGCGGAUUAGAGCAUUGCCCUGCGGAGGCAAGUGUCAUGGGUUCGAAUCCCAUACUCGGCA